GAUGAACGCUGGCGGCGUGCCUAAUACAUGCAAGUCGAGCGAACAGAUAAGGAGCUUGCUCCUUUGACGUUAGCGGCGGACGGGUGAGUAACACGUGGAUAACCUACCUAUAAGACUGGGAUAACUUCGGGAAACCGGAGCUAAUACCGGAUAACAUAUUGAACCGCAUGGUUCAAUAGUGAAAGGCGGCUUUGCUGUCACUUAUAGAUGGAUCCGCGCCGUAUUAGCUAGUUGGUAAGGUAACGGCUUACCAAGGCAACGAUACGUAGCCGACCUGAGAGGGUGAUCGGCCACACUGGAACUGAGACACGGUCCAGACUCCUACGGGAGGCAGCAGUAGGGAAUCUUCCGCAAAGGGCGAAAGCCUGACGGAGCAACGCCGCGUGAGUGAUGAAGGUCUUCGGAUCGUAAAACUCUGUUAUCAGGGAAGAACAAAUGUGUAAGUAACUGUGCACAUCUUGACGGUACCUGAUCAGAAAGCCACGGCUAACUACGUG
This 497-nucleotide ribosomal RNA is filed under the name uncultured bacterium. Its description in RNAcentral is "partial 16S ribosomal RNA". It matches the Rfam family "Bacterial small subunit ribosomal RNA", at positions 28 to 507 of the family's 1533-position model. The record is from RNAcentral.